Molecule: ribosomal RNA, 253 nt
Filed under: uncultured prokaryote
Description: partial 16S ribosomal RNA
Rfam family: Bacterial small subunit ribosomal RNA
Source: RNAcentral
UACGGGGGGGGUAAGCGUUGUUCGGAAUUACUGGGCGUAAAGGGCUCGUAGGCGGCCAACUAAGUCAGACGUGAAAUCCCUCGGCUUAACCGGGGAACUGCGUCUGAUACUGGAUGGCUUGGAUUUGGGAGAGGGAUGCGGAAUUCCAGGUGUAGCGGUGAAAUGCGUAGAUAUCUGGAGGAACACCGGUGGCGAAGGCGGCAUCCUGGACCGGCAUCGACGCUGAGGCGCGAAAGCGUGGGGAGCAAACAGG